GAUGAACGCUGGCGGCGUGCCUAAUACAUGCAAGUCGAGCGAACGGACGAGAAUCUUGCUUCUCUGCUGUUAGCGGCGGACGGGUAAUUCCCACGUGGAUAACCUACCUAUAAGACUGAGAUAACUUCAGGAAACCGGAGCUAAUAUCGGAUAUUAUUUUGAACCUCAUGGUUCAAAAGUGAAAGACGGUCUUGCUGUCCCUUAUAGAUGGAUCCGCGUUGCAUUAGCUAGUUGGUAAGGUAACGGCUUACCAAGGCAACGAUGCGUAACCGACCUGAGAGGGUGAUCAGCCACACUGGAAUUGAGACACGGUCCAGACUCCUACGGGAGGCAGCAGUGGGGAAUCUUCGGCAAUGGGCGAAAGCCUGACGGAGCAACGCCGCGUGAGUGAUGAAGGUCUUCGGAUAGUAAAACACUGGUAUUAGGGAGGAAGAGAAGUAUAAGUAUAUGUGCACAUCUUGACGUUACCUAGAGAGUAAGCCCCGGCUAACUUCGUG
This 497-nucleotide ribosomal RNA is filed under the name uncultured bacterium. RNAcentral describes it as "partial 16S ribosomal RNA". It matches the Rfam family "Bacterial small subunit ribosomal RNA", at positions 28 to 507 of the family's 1533-position model. The record is from RNAcentral.